RNAcentral lists this long non-coding RNA (2553 nucleotides) under Felis catus (domestic cat). RNAcentral's name for it is "lncRNA (ENSFCAG00000041342.2)". The record is from RNAcentral. Lineage: Eukaryota; Metazoa; Chordata; Mammalia; Carnivora; Felidae.
CAAGUACACAUUUUCUACAUUUUUCAAGCAGAAGAAGUAAAACCUUUAAAAGGCAAAAGCACAAAGCAAGAAGAGGCUGGGAAGGAAGUGGUCUCUCUCCAGCUCUCCUGUGUUUUUCUUCUCCUCCCUAAUAGCCUGAAGGAAGAUAUAGUCAAAAUAAAACAAUUUCAUAUUAAACUAACACAUAGAUGGAAUUAAUUCCUUCCCAGAUGGUCUGAGGGACCUGGCUGUUGCAGUGUGCCCAGAAAAUGCUAGAUUCAAGGUGAUUUUCUCUCCCUCAGCCGCUCAGAGAAUUGUAAACAGCUUCAGCCUCAUGAUUUGUUUUAAUCUGCUAUUGAACGCAGAUAAAAUUAGAACCGUCUUCCACUUGACAUAAACGUCGCUCAGGAAGAGUCACCAGGUUUUUUCGCCGAAGGAAUAUCUGGGUUGUUUUUGUUUUGUUCAAAAUGGUAAUAUUUAACUAGUGUGUAACCAGCUACAAGUUCUGAGGUCAGGAACCCCAUGGCCGUAAAAAAGAAAAAAAAAAAAAAAUCAGUGUUUAAACUAAUCUUGCCCUUGUUCUCUCCCAGUGAUCUUGUGUCGAUAAGCACAAGUACCAGAGAGUAAAACAAAUGAUUUGUGUGUUCCUGGCAAAUAAUUUUUUGAGCUUCAAAAAAUCAAAAACACGUUGCCUGUUGCUUUUUAGGAAUACCUUGUAAACUGGACGGGAGGGGGUGGUGCAGGAAAUACAGUUUCAUUGACCCUUGGAAAACUGGAGGUUAGUCGAGGUGCAGUCAGCUCUGCCCUGUCAGGGCAGGUGCCGCUCGACAGGAGGGUGAAUCUCAAGGUGAGGCUUCAGGUGCUUGGUCACCUGUGAAGACACAGGGGCCCCCUGACAGUUGUGACAGGUGCGGUGAGGUAAUGAAGCAGACAGGUCAGUUGUGCAGACAGGACCUAGCCCCCCUCCACCACCACCCCCUUGCCCCCUGCAGCCUGGCCAGCUCCCGAUCUGCCGCCCCCAUGUCCACGUUUCAGUCCCAUCUGGAGGACCCUCUCCCUUUUUAGGAUGUUUUCUCUCCUUUAAACACACCCUGCUGGCCCACUCAGCAGCAUUACCGGGGACCCAUUUGUCAUUUUCGCUCACAAAGCAAAAAGUUAACCAAAGUCUGGACCAGAGAAGCCUCCCCCCUGCCCCCGCCAGGCUCCUUUGUCACCUCAACAGCCCAGACCAUGGGACAUCUUUAUUCACACCCCACAAAGGCCAGGCGACCGCGCGUGCAACCUCACGCCCGAUUCCAGACGCAGCUGCAUUUAGGUGUGUGAGAGUGUUGGAGAUUUUUUUUUUUUUAUUGUUUCCAUCCUCGUUUUCUGUUUUCGCAGGGAAACUACGGUCCCUUUUGCAGCACUGGGGCCGGCCAGCCGGGGUUUAUGCCCCGUGUCCGAGUCUCUGUGGUGGGAAUAGACCCAUUCAGACAAGGCCUAACAGAUACGUGGGGCCAGCCCACCCCCCAGCCAGGGAGGACACAGUAAAGGAAUUCAAAGCGAUGAUUACCCUUCCAGAAUGCCCCUGUUGACAUUUUCCAAAAUGAAGUCACGCCCGCAGCCCGAAAGAACCCGCAGAGGAAGAGGUAAGCGGUGAAAGCCGACGGCCCCCGGCCCCCUCCCCGCCCGAGUCCUCACCGCCAGCCACAGAACACGCGGGGGCUCGGGCUCGCGGCCGGCACCCCACACCCCCGAACAGGCCCUUCACCCCCCCUCCCCCAGGCCUUGGUGUCUUCAUCCGCAAAGGGGGCCAAAAGGUAAUACCCACCUCCCGGGCCUUCGAAGGACCCGGUGAGUUACGGGCACACACGCACCCAGAGGAGGGCUCCCGACAGGUACUAGCAGUUCUGGCGAAUUCGCCCACGGAGCGCAUCACCGUCUAUUUCUAACCCUUUUUGAAACGCAAGAUGUAUCAGACUUUGGCGUCUCGCUUUCUUUGCCUUGUUUAUUUUAGAGCUCCGUCCAUCCCAGCACAUGUGGGCAGACAUACCUCCCUCUUGAUUAGGAGCCUUCGGAUCCACGGGCCCACCCUCCCCCGGUCACCGAUACCAAGGGACAGGGGAGUUAGAGGCCUAGAAGUGUCGAUUCCGGCCCAAGCUGUGUACGCAUUUUCGGUUUGGCCGGAUUUACACUUCUAUCGACGAGGAUGAACGUCCCAUCUCCGAAAACCCGCUAGCCCUGGGACCGCUGUGGUCUGGGCAGUUUCCAGUCUGGCUCGAGGUCGCCACCUCGGGGACAGCCUGGCGAGGCAUCGCGGGACCACAGAGCCACAGUGAUGAGGCAGAGACACAGAGACGGGGAGUGGGCUCCAGGGCUGAGGGACGUCUCAGGGACCCCAGGGGGAGGGGCAGGAGCCACAGCGGCAGCCGGUUCCUCGGUGACCCUCAGGCCCUGCCUGGUAUUCGCCUCCUAGGACAUUUGAUAGAAUGAAUGCCGGCCUUUUGGCCGGGACAUUAUCAGCCAGCUUUUCCCUCUGCAGCCCCGGGGCUGGCUGGGACGCCCGCCUCGGCCCCUUUCGGGGGAGGGGGUGCC